This is a long non-coding RNA of Zalophus californianus (California sea lion), 460 nucleotides long. RefSeq lists it as uncharacterized. The record is from RefSeq and is a predicted model, not a curated record. NCBI's taxonomy places the organism in Eukaryota, Metazoa, Chordata, Mammalia, Carnivora, Otariidae. The transcript is spliced from 3 exons.
CCCCCCCAUGCCACACAGCUGUCAAAAAGAACCAGCAGGUUUCUCCACCCUAAUAUGGAAGUUUAUUCACGAGAGACAGAUCUGGCUGCUUGUGGUGAAAUUCCAGGAAGCUGGCCCGGGAUCCAGAGACAACAUGAGGCCCCGGUAAGGGUCAUGGUGGGAGACAGGCCUAGCCAUCAGGAUUCCGGCACAACGGCACAAUGAUCAGACAUCUAUCAAGGGGAGGCACGAAUGUGACUGAGCAGGAACAGCAUGCCUAGAGGGGCAGGUCCAUGGAAGAACUGAGCAGAAUGUGAGCAAGUGCUGGCUUCCCUUCCGAGUCGGCCUGCUCUGUGUACACUCUACGUUGCAUUCGGUGUUGGCAAUGCUCAUCAUCACUGGCCGUAAGAGGUGAUUCAGCCAUAACAUCAGUGCAACUGACCAGUUCAGUUUUAAUCCCUCCCGGCCCCUCAUUGCUUGC